GCAAGGUCGAGAAGGCGCCCCAUGGU
This 26-nucleotide non-coding RNA is filed under the name Homo sapiens (human). The record is from RNAcentral. Lineage: Eukaryota; Metazoa; Chordata; Mammalia; Primates; Hominidae.